AGAGUUUGAUCCUGGCUCAGGAUGAACGCUAGCGGCAGGCCUAAUACAUGCAAGUCGAACGGGCUGGAGUAGCAAUACUCCAGUUAGUGGCGCACGGGUGCGUAACGCGUAUGCAACCUACCUUUUAUUGGGGGAUAGCCCGAAGAAAUUCGGAUUAAUACCGCAUAAUAUCAUUUGAGGGCAUCUGAGGAUGAUUAAAGCUACGGCGAUAAAAGAUGGGCAUGCGUGUCAUUAGCUAGUUGGUUGAGGUAACGGCUCACCAAGGCGACGAUGACUAGGGGUUCUGAGAGGAUGAUCCCCCACACUGGUACUGAGAUACGGACCAGACUCCUACGGGAGGCAGCAGUAGGGAAUAUUGGGCAAUGGCGGAAACGCUGACCCAGCCAUGCCGCGUGCAGGAUGAAGGCCUUCUGGGUUGUAAACUGCUUUUACCAGGGAAGAAAAUACCUUUGCGAAGGGAACUGACGGUACCUGGUGAAUAAGCACCGGCUAACUCCGUGCCAGCAGCCGCGGUAAUACGGAGGGUGCAAGCGUUGUCCGGAUUUAUUGGGUUUAAAGGGUGCGUAGGCGGCUUGAUAAGUCCGUGGUGAAAGCCAACAGCUCAACUGUUGAACUGCCAUGGAUACUGUCAGGCUUGAGUACAGACGAGGUAGGCGGAAUGGAUCGUGUAGCGGUGAAAUGCAUAGAUACGAUCCAGAACUCCGAUUGCGAAGGCAGCUUACUAGGCUGUAACUGACGCUGAGGCACGAAAGCGUGGGGAGCGAACAGGAUUAGAUACCCUAGUAGUCC
This 789-nucleotide ribosomal RNA is filed under the name uncultured bacterium. Its description in RNAcentral is "bacterial SSU rRNA". It matches the Rfam family "Bacterial small subunit ribosomal RNA", at positions 8 to 796 of the family's 1533-position model. The record is from RNAcentral.